UGGGGAAUAUUGCACAAUGGACGAAAGUCUGAUGCAGCAACGCCGCGUGGAGGAUGACACAUUUCGGUGCGUAAACUCCUUUUAUAUAGGAAGAUAAUGACGGUACUAUAUGAAUAAGCACCGGCUAACUCCGUGCCAGCAGCCGCGGUAAUACGGAGGGUGCAAGCGUUACUCGGAAUCACUGGGCGUAAAGAGCGUGUAGGCGGGUAUAUAAGUCAGAAGUGAAAUCCUAUAGCUUAACUAUAGAACUGCUUUUGAAACUGUAUACCUAGAAUGUGGGAGAGGUAGAUGGAAUUUCUGGUGUAGGGGUAAAAUCCGUAGAGAUCAGAAGGAAUACCGAUUGCGAAGGCGAUCUACUGGAACAUUAUUGACGCUGAGACGCGAAAGCGUGGGGAGCAAACA
Molecule: ribosomal RNA, 402 nt
Filed under: uncultured bacterium
Lineage: Bacteria
Description: bacterial SSU rRNA
Rfam family: Bacterial small subunit ribosomal RNA
Source: RNAcentral